CCUACGGGAGGCAGCAGUGGGGGAUAUUGCACAAUGGGGGGAACCCUGAUGCAGCGACGCCGCGUGGGUGAAGAAGCGCCUCGGCGCGUAAAGCUCUGUCAGCAGGGACGAAAAUGACGGUAGCUGCAGAAUAAGCCCCGGCUAACUACGUGCCAGCAGCCGCGGUAAUACUUAGGGGGCAAGCGGUAUUCGGAUGUACUGGUUGUAAAGGGGGCGCAGGCGGCGGUGCAAGCAAGGAGUGAAAGCCCUGGGCCGAACCCCGGGAGUGCUCUUGGAAGUGCGUAGCUGGAGUGCAGGAGGGGAAAGCGGAAUUCCUGGUGUAGCGGUGAAAUGCGUAGAUAUCAGGAGGAACACCAGUGGCGAAGGCGGCUUGCUGGACUGCAACUGACGUUGAGGCACGAAAGCGUGGGGAGCGAACAGGAUUAGAUACCCGAGUAGUC
This 440-nucleotide ribosomal RNA is filed under the name uncultured bacterium. RNAcentral's name for it is "partial 16S ribosomal RNA". It matches the Rfam family "Bacterial small subunit ribosomal RNA", at positions 338 to 795 of the family's 1533-position model. The record is from RNAcentral.